AUGAAGCAUCCACGAGAUCCAUCGACUACGGGACUGCUCAGCGACUGGAAGUACAAUGAUAGAAUCGACAUAAUAUGGAAGGGCAAGGUGCAGAAAUUCCGAAGAGCGAUCCGGUUAUUAGCCGGCAUUGAUUUAUCAGACAAUUUGCUAUCACAAUGCAUCCCCGAAGAGUUAACCAACCUUCAAGGCCUUCGGUUCCUAAACCUUUCAAGAAACCAUAUGUCGUGCCGCAUUCCGCAAGGCAUUGGUAGCCUCUCUUUUCUUGAGAUCCUUGAUCUAUCAUCUAAUCAACUUUUUGGAAACAUUCCUCAAAGCAUCACACGAUUAUCAGGGCUCAACACGUUAAAUGUCUCGAACAAUCUUUUGUCGGGCAAGAUACCCACCGGGAAUCAGAUUCAGACCCUGACUGACCCAUCAAUUUACUCCAACAAUUCUGGGCUCUGUGGAUUUCCUCUAAACAUUUCAUGUACGAAUAUUUCGCUUGCACCGGAUGAGAGAAAUGGUGAAGAGGAGGACCACUGGAUGUACUACUGUGUGAUUGCUGGGAUUGUGUCUGGUCUCUGGUUGUGGUUUGGGAUGCUCUUUACAAUUAAGUCCUGGAGAUGUGGUUUUCUUUCCUUUGUUGAUGGCAUGCAAUGUAAAAUUAUGAAAAAGUUGUGA
This 660-nucleotide ribosomal RNA is filed under the name Triticum aestivum (bread wheat). RNAcentral's name for it is "partial small subunit ribosomal RNA". Lineage: Eukaryota; Viridiplantae; Streptophyta; Magnoliopsida; Poales; Poaceae. The record is from RNAcentral.